This 253-nucleotide ribosomal RNA is filed under the name uncultured bacterium. RNAcentral's name for it is "partial 16S ribosomal RNA". It matches the Rfam family "Bacterial small subunit ribosomal RNA", at positions 524 to 776 of the family's 1533-position model. The record is from RNAcentral.
UACGUAGGGGGCAAGCGUUGUCCGGAUUUAUUGGGCGUAAAGAGCGUGUAGGCGGCCAGAUAGGUCCGUUGUGAAAACUCGAGGCUCAACCUCGAGACGCCGAUGGAAACCAUCUGACUAGAGUCCGGAAGAGGAGAGUGGAAUUCCUGGUGUAGCGGUGAAAUGCGCAGAUAUCAGGAAGAACACCCGUGGCGAAGGCGGCUCUCUGGGACGGUACUGACGCUGAGACGCGAAAGCGUGGGGAGCGAACAGG